This 253-nucleotide ribosomal RNA is filed under the name uncultured bacterium. RNAcentral's name for it is "partial 16S ribosomal RNA". It matches the Rfam family "Bacterial small subunit ribosomal RNA", at positions 524 to 776 of the family's 1533-position model. The record is from RNAcentral.
UACGGAGGGUGCAAGCGUUAUCCGGAUUCACUGGGUUUAAAGGGUGCGUAGGUGGGUUGGUAAGUCAGUGGUGAAAUCUCCGAGCUUAACUUGGAAACUGCCGUUGAUACUAUCAAUCUUGAAUACCGUGGAGGUCAGCGGAAUAUGUCAUGUAGCGGUGAAAUGCUUAGAUAUGACAUAGAACACCAAUUGCGAAGGCAGCUGGCUACACGAAUAUUGACACUGAUGCACGAAAGCGUGGGGAUCAAACAGG